GACGAACGCUGGCGGCGUGCUUAACACAUGCAAGUCGAACGGUAAGGCCCUUCGGGGUACACGAGUGGCGAACGGGUGAGUAACACGUGGGUGAUCUGCCCUGCACUUCGGGAUAAGCCUGGGAAACUGGGUCUAAUACCGGAUAGGACUCCGGACUGCAUGGUCUGGGGUGGAAAGCUUUUGCGGUGUGGGAUGGGCCCGCGGCCUAUCAGCUUGUUGGUGGGGUGAUGGCCUACCAAGGCGACGACGGGUAGCCGGACUGAGUGGGUGACCGGCCACACUGGGACUGAGAUACGGCCCAGACUCCUACGGGAGGCAGCAGUGGGGAAUAUUGCACAAUGGGCGGAAGCCUGAUGCAGCGACGCCGCGUGAGGGAUGACGGCCUUCGGGUUGUAAACCUCUUUCAGCAUCGACGAAGCGAAAGUGACGGUAGGUGCAGAAGAAGGACCGGCCAACUACGUGCCAGCAGCCGCGGUAA
Molecule: ribosomal RNA, 478 nt
Filed under: uncultured bacterium
Lineage: Bacteria
Description: partial 16S ribosomal RNA
Rfam family: Bacterial small subunit ribosomal RNA
Source: RNAcentral